RNAcentral lists this ribosomal RNA (253 nucleotides) under uncultured bacterium. RNAcentral's name for it is "partial 16S ribosomal RNA". It matches the Rfam family "Bacterial small subunit ribosomal RNA", at positions 524 to 776 of the family's 1533-position model. The record is from RNAcentral.
UACAGAGGUGGCAAGCGUUGUUCGGAAUUACUGGGCGUAAAGGGCGCGUAGGCGGUCCUGUAAGUCCCGCGUGAAAUCCCCCGGCUCAACUGGGGAACUGCGCGGGAAACUGUGGGGCUUGAGUUCGGGAGAGGGAAGCGGAAUUCCGGGUGUAGCGGUGAAAUUCGUAGAUAUUGGGAAGAACACCGGUGGCGAAGGCGGCUAUCUGGCCCGUAAUUGACGCUGAGGCGCGAAAGCGUGGGGAGCAAACAGG